GAUGAACGCUAGCGGGAGGCCUAACACAUGCAAGCCGAGCGGUAUUGUUUCUUCGGAAAUGAGAGAGCGGCGUACGGGUGCGGAACACGUGUGCAACCUGCCUUUAUCUGGGGGAUAGCCUUUCGAAAGGAAGAUUAAUACUCCAUAAUAUAUUGAACGGCAUCGUUUAAUAUUGAAAGCUCCGGCGGAUAGAGAUGGGCACGCGCAAGAUUAGCUAGUUGGUGAGGUAACGGCUCACCAAGGCGAUGAUCUUUAGGGGGCCUGAGAGGGUGAUCCCCCACACUGGUACUGAGACACGGACCAGACUCCUACGGGAGGCAGCAGUGAGGAAUAUUGGUCAAUGGGUGCAAGCCUGAACCAGCCAUCCCGCGUGAAGGACGACUGCCCUAUGGGUUGUAAACUUCUUUUGUAUAGGGAUAAACCUACCCUCGUGAGGGUAGCUGAAGGUACUAUACGAAUAAGCACCGGCUAACUCCGUGCCAGCAGCCGCGGUAAUACGGAGGGUGCAAGCGUUAUCCGGAUUUAUUGGGUUUAAAGGGUCCGUAGGCGGACUUAUAAGUCAGUGGUGAAAGCCUGUCGCUUAACGAUAGAACUGCCAUUGAUACUGUAAGUCUUGAGUAUAUUUGAGGUAGCUGGAAUAAGUAGUGUAGCGGUGAAAUGCAUAGAUAUUACUUAGAACACCAAUUGCGAAGGCAGGUUACCAAGAUAUAACUGACGCUGAGGGACGAAAGCGUGGGGAGCGAACAGGAUUAGAUACCCUGGUAGUCCACGCCGUAAACGAUGCUAACUCGUUUUUGGGCUUUAGGGUUCAGAGACCAAGCGAAAGUGAUAAGUUAGCCACCUGGGGAGUACGCUCGCAAGAGUGAAGCUCAAAGGAAUUGACGGGGGCCCGCACAAGCGGUGGAUUAUGUGGUUUAAUUCGAUGAUACGCGAGGAACCUUACCAAGACUUAAAUGGGAAUUGACAGCUUUAGAAAUAGAGCUUUCUUCGGACAAUUUUCAAGGUGCUGCAUGGUUGUCGUCAGCUCGUGCCGUGAGGUGUUAGGUUAAGUCCUGCAACGAGCGCAACCCCUGUCACUAGUUGCCAUCAUUCAGUUGGGGACUCUAGUGAGACUGCCUACGCAAGUAGAGAGGAAGGUGGGGAUGACGUCAAAUCAUCACGGCCCUUACGUCUUGGGCCACACACGUAAUACAAUGGCCGGUACAGAGGGCAGCUACACAGCGAUGUGAUGCAAAUCUCGAAAGCCGGUCUCAGUUCGGAUUGGAGUCUGCAACUCGACUCUAUGAAGCUGGAAUCGCUAGUAAUCGCGCAUCAGCCAUGGCGCGGUGAAUACGUUCCCGGGCCU
Molecule: ribosomal RNA, 1345 nt
Filed under: uncultured bacterium
Lineage: Bacteria
Description: bacterial SSU rRNA
Rfam family: Bacterial small subunit ribosomal RNA
Source: RNAcentral